AACGAACGCUGGCGGCGUGCUUAACACAUGCAAGUCGAACGGAGAUUCAGCAAUGGAUCUUAGUGGCGAACGGGUGAGUAACGCGUAGGCAAUCUGCCUUCUAGAUGGGGACAACAUCCCGAAAGGGGUGCUAAUACCGAAUGUUGUAGUUGGUUCGCAUGGACUAGCUACUAAAGGUGGCCUCUGAAUAUGCUACCGCUAGAAGAUGAGCCUGCGUCUGAUUAGCUAGUUGGAGGGGUAACGGCCCACCAAGGCUUCGAUCAGUAGCCGGUCUGAGAGGAUGAACGGCCACACUGGGACUGAGACACGGCCCAGACUCCUACGGGAGGCAGCAGUGGGGAAUCUUCCGCAAUGGACGAAAGUCUGACGGAGCAACGCCGCGUGAGUGAAGAAGGUUUUCGGAUCGUAAAGCUCUUUCGAUAGGGAAUAAACGUCGGAUUCGUCCGGCCUGAAUGUACCUAUAAAGGAAGCACCGGCAAACUUCGUGCCAGCAGCCGCAGUAA
Molecule: ribosomal RNA, 503 nt
Filed under: uncultured bacterium
Lineage: Bacteria
Description: partial 16S ribosomal RNA
Rfam family: Bacterial small subunit ribosomal RNA
Source: RNAcentral